This 253-nucleotide ribosomal RNA is filed under the name uncultured bacterium. RNAcentral's name for it is "partial 16S ribosomal RNA". It matches the Rfam family "Bacterial small subunit ribosomal RNA", at positions 524 to 776 of the family's 1533-position model. The record is from RNAcentral.
UACAGAGGGGGCGAGCGUUGUUCGGAAUUACUGGGCGUAAAGGGCGCGUAGGCGGCCUUCUAAGUCGAACGUGAAAUCCCCGGGCUCAACCCGGGAACUGCGUCCGAUACUGGGAGGCUUGAAUCCGGGAGAGGGAUGCGGAAUUCCAGGUGUAGCGGUGAAAUGCGUAGAUAUCUGGAGGAACACCGGUGGCGAAGGCGGCAUCCUGGACCGGUAUUGACGCUGAGGCGCGAAAGCCAGGGGAGCAAACGGG